RNAcentral lists this ribosomal RNA (303 nucleotides) under Triticum aestivum (bread wheat). RNAcentral's name for it is "partial small subunit ribosomal RNA". The record is from RNAcentral. Lineage: Eukaryota; Viridiplantae; Streptophyta; Magnoliopsida; Poales; Poaceae.
AUGGUCCAAAACAGGGACAAGGUACCUCACAACAAUAACAACAACAACAACAACAAUAACAACAACAACAACAACAACAACAACAACAACAACAACAACAACGGGCACACAAGGCUUAUGUCCGCUUACCUGAUCAGGGUAGCACGCGCCCAUAACCUUCCCUCUUUGGAGGCACCGGCGAGAGGCAUGUCAAUAGACCCAGUUAGGACCCCCCAUAAGGCAAGUGUGGUUGCACUGGUCAGCUCGAUUUGGUGGCACCAUGACUCAGCGAAUAGUUGUUCAAGUUCAUUAUUAUCCGAUUAA